Molecule: non-coding RNA, 21 nt
Organism: Caenorhabditis elegans
Lineage: Eukaryota; Metazoa; Nematoda; Chromadorea; Rhabditida; Rhabditidae
Source: Ensembl
UCUCACAGGUCUUAACUAUGC